ACUCGAGUGGCGAACGGGUGAGUAACACGUGGGUGAUCUGCCCUGCACUUUGGGAUAAGCCUGGGAAACUGGGUCUAAUACCGAAUAUGAUCAUCGGCUUCAUGGUCGGUGGUGGAAAGCUUUUGCGGUGUGGGAUGGGCCCGCGGCCUAUCAGCUUGUUGGUGGGGUAAUGGCCUACCAAGGCGACGACGGGUAGCCGGCCUGAGAGGGUGACCGGCCACACUGGGACUGAGAUACGGCCCAGACUCCUACGGGAGGCAGCAGUGGGGAAUAUUGCACAAUGGGCGCAAGCCUGAUGCAGCGACGCCGCGUGAGGGAUGACGGCCUUCGGGUUGUAAACCUCUUUCAGCACAGACGAAGCGCAAGUGACGGUAUGUGCAGAAGAAGGACCGGCCAACUACGUGCCAGCAGCCGCGGUAAAUACGUAGGGUCCGAGCGUUGUCCGGAAUUACU
RNAcentral lists this ribosomal RNA (453 nucleotides) under Mycolicibacterium neoaurum. RNAcentral's name for it is "bacterial SSU rRNA". It matches the Rfam family "Bacterial small subunit ribosomal RNA", at positions 89 to 555 of the family's 1533-position model. Lineage: Bacteria; Bacillati; Actinomycetota; Actinomycetes; Mycobacteriales; Mycobacteriaceae. The record is from RNAcentral.